This is a long non-coding RNA of Thunnus maccoyii (southern bluefin tuna), 816 nucleotides long. RefSeq lists it as uncharacterized. The record is from RefSeq and is a predicted model, not a curated record. The transcript is spliced from 4 exons. Lineage: Eukaryota; Metazoa; Chordata; Actinopteri; Scombriformes; Scombridae.
GCCAAUGGGAUGGGUCCCCUGAGUGUUUUGCAAGAGACCAGGCUCUGUUUCUUGCCUUAAACAGAGUUGAAAGCCCAGGGGAAACCAAAGAUUUGACCUAUCUUUUAUUCUGAGCUUUUUGAAAGGUGGAUGAUUAUCAACAAUUGCAAGGAAGUCCUUUGAAAAAUAGUCUAAUGCCAUUUCAACAUCAGGAAUUUCAGAGCUAAACAACACAAGCAGUGCUCCAUGUGUGGCUACAACAGGGGGUCAGACACCAUUUGCUGACUUCUGCCAGAGCAAGUGCUGUGGUAAACUGCCAACAACUGUGGUCCGGUACUUGAACAACCAGUCAGCCCCAGUUUACAUCCCCCAACCCACACCAGCAGGCUCCCAAAUAAGAUAAGACAACUGAGUAUCUUCAAAUUAGAGUGCUGGCAUUAACUUCUGUGCUCGCUCAUGCACCUGCUGGGAAAUGAGAGAAAAAAUGUCUCUUUUUUUAACAGGAGCAGCGAGCUUAGUCUGCAACAGCAGUGGACAGCAGGAGCAGUUACUGUUGUCUGGCGAGGCUCCGGUAGACAGGCUCUGCCACAUGCACAUUCCUCCCUCGAGACCACAGACAACCAGACAAGUAGAUAACGUUUUAGUGAGUCCCGGCCAAGAAAAAGAUUAAUAUGUCUGAUGUUAACAAGAUUUGGGACAAACUGGACUCUUGUCUUGGAUGGACGGACUGAGGUGGGCUGAGAUGGGGUUGUUGCUGCAGAACUGCCUGCAAUACACGCUUCAACUCCCACAACAACAUUAUUACUAGGGAUUACACGCGACAUGAGAAUAUCAUCA